RNAcentral lists this transfer RNA (74 nucleotides) under Bos taurus (domestic cattle). It matches the Rfam family "tRNA". Rfam says of the family: Transfer RNA (tRNA) molecules are approximately 80 nucleotides in length. Lineage: Eukaryota; Metazoa; Chordata; Mammalia; Artiodactyla; Bovidae. RNAcentral also lists the same sequence under 2 other names. The record is from Rfam by way of RNAcentral.
UCCCUUGUGGUCUAGUGGGUAAGACUCUAUGUUCCCAAUGCAGAGGCCCCAGGUUUUGAUCCCUGGUUGGGGAA